AUGCUGACAAAGGCGCAAUGGAUCGCCCUGUCGAAAGAAAAGCAAGGCGGAUCCACAAGCAGUGGCAAGAAGAAGGGGAAGGGGAAGCAGCACUCGGUGAGAAAGAACUUCACCAACUCGGACGACGAGGAUGCGCCUGCACCACCGAGGAGGAAGUUUUACAUCAGAAAAGUGAGGUGUCAUAAGUGUGGCCUCCUCGGUCACUUCAAGGCUAACUGCGAGGAAGCACCAAUGCAACGAGCACUCAUGGCCGAGGAAGGAGACGACGGGGAUAUGAUGCUGAUGUGUGAGCUAGUGGACGAAGAGGAUCCAGAUUAUCACGAUCAGCUGGAGACAAGUCCGGUGAGUGCGUCUGUGUCAGUAGAACCAGGCGAAGUUGUGGCGCCAAAAGACCAUGACCCAAGGCAUGACGAUGUGAUUACGUCAGUAAACCCAGGUGAAGUCGUGGUGCCAGAAGACCAUGACAGAUGGCGUGACGGUGUGGUCACGUUAGAAGCAGGCGAAGAAGUGGCGCCAGAAGUCCACGACACAAUACGUGAUGAUGUGGUCACGCUAGAAGACGGCAAAGACGUGUCACUAGAAGAACACGUUGCAGGGCGUGACAGAGUGGUUGCACACGAAGAUGGCGAAUACGUUUCGCCAGAAGAACACGGUUCGAGGCAAGAUGCGUCUCCAGUAGCUGCUGGGUUGCAUGCAAGCGGAGAUGCACUGGGCGACGAGCUCAAUGGCAGCAUCAACUUGCUAGGCAGCGCACAAGCAUGUGAGUGCACUAGCUGGCCACAUGGGCCACGAUCAAGCCAAUAA
This 804-nucleotide ribosomal RNA is filed under the name Triticum aestivum (bread wheat). Its description in RNAcentral is "partial small subunit ribosomal RNA". Lineage: Eukaryota; Viridiplantae; Streptophyta; Magnoliopsida; Poales; Poaceae. The record is from RNAcentral.